UGGGGAAUAUUGGACAAUGGGCGCAAGCCUGAUCCAGCCAUGCCGCGUGAGUGAUGAAGGCCUUAGGGUUGUAAAGCUCUUUCGGCGGGGAAGAUAAUGACGGUACCCGCAGAAGAAGCCCCGGCUAACUUCGUGCCAGCAGCCGCGGUAAUACGAAGGGGGUUAGCGUUGCUCGGAAUCACUGGGCGUAAAGCGCACGUAGGCGGGUUGCUAAGUCAGGGGUGAAAUCCUGGAGCUCAACGCCAGAACUGCCUUUGAUACUGGCGACCUUGAGUCCGGGAGAGGUGAGUGGAACUGCGAGUGUAGAGGUGAAAUUCGUAGAUAUUCGCAAGAACACCAGUGGCGAAGGCGGCUCACUGGCCCGGUACUGACGCUGAGGUGCGAAAGCGUGGGGAGCAAACA
Molecule: ribosomal RNA, 402 nt
Filed under: uncultured prokaryote
Description: bacterial SSU rRNA
Rfam family: Bacterial small subunit ribosomal RNA
Source: RNAcentral